RNAcentral lists this ribosomal RNA (469 nucleotides) under uncultured bacterium. RNAcentral describes it as "bacterial SSU rRNA". It matches the Rfam family "Bacterial small subunit ribosomal RNA", at positions 335 to 800 of the family's 1533-position model. The record is from RNAcentral.
ACUCCUACGGGAGGCAGCAGUGGGGAAUAUUGCACAAUGGGCGCAAGCCUGAUGCAGCCAUGCCGCGUGUAUGAAGAAGGCCUUCGGGUUGUAAAGUACUUUCAGCAGUGAGGAAGGUGGAUAUGUUAAUAGCAUAUUCAUUUGACGUUAGCUGCAGAAGAAGCACCGGCUAACUCCGUGCCAGCAGCCGCGGUAAUACGGAGGGUGCGAGCGUUAAUCGGAAUUACUGGGCGUAAAGCGCAUGCAGGUGUUUGUUAAGUCAGAUGUGAAAGCCCGGGGCUCAACCUCGGAAUUGCAUUUGAAACUGGCAAACUAGAGUACUGUAGAGGGGGGUAGAAUUUCAGGUGUAGCGGUGAAAUGCGUAGAGAUCUGAAGGAAUACCGGUGGCAAGGCGGCCCCCUGGACAGAUACUGACACUCAGAUGCGAAAGCUGGGGAGCAAACAGGAUUAGAUACCCUGGUAGCUCUGC